Molecule: ribosomal RNA, 700 nt
Filed under: uncultured bacterium
Lineage: Bacteria
Description: bacterial SSU rRNA
Rfam family: Bacterial small subunit ribosomal RNA
Source: RNAcentral
AUAGCCUUUCGAAAGAAAGAUUAAUACCCGAUAGUAUAUCAAGGUCGCAUGAUCUUGAUAUUAAAGAAUUUCGGUUAUCGAUGGGGAUGCGUUCCAUUAGUUAGUUGGCGGGGUAACGGCCCACCAAGACGACGAUGGAUAGGGGUUCUGAGAGGAAGGUCCCCCACAUUGGAACUGAGACACGGUCCAAACUCCUACGGGAGGCAGCAGUGAGGAAUAUUGGUCAAUGGACGAGAGUCUGAACCAGCCAAGUAGCGUGAAGGAUGACUGCCCUAUGGGUUGUAAACUUCUUUUAUAUGGGAAUAAAACAGGGUAUGCAUACCCUCUUGUAUGUACCAUAUGAAUAAGGAUCGGCUAACUCCGUGCCAGCAGCCGCGGUAAUACGGAGGAUCCGAGCGUUAUCCGGAUUUAUUGGGUUUAAAGGGAGCGUAGGUGGAUUGUUAAGUCAGUUGUGAAAGUUUGCGGCUCAACCGUAAAAUUGCAGUUGAAACUGGCAGUCUUGAGUACAGUAGAGGUGGGCGGAAUUCGUGGUGUAGCGGUGAAAUGCUUAGAUAUCACGAAGAACUCCGAUUGCGAAGGCAGCUCACUGGACUGCAACUGACACUGAGGCUCGAAAGUGUGGGUAUCAAACAGGAUUAGAUACCCUGGUAGUCCACACAGUAAACGAUGAAUACUCGCUGUUUGCGAUAUACGGUAAGCG